Molecule: ribosomal RNA, 497 nt
Filed under: uncultured bacterium
Lineage: Bacteria
Description: partial 16S ribosomal RNA
Rfam family: Bacterial small subunit ribosomal RNA
Source: RNAcentral
GAUGAACGCUGGCGGCGUGCCUAAUACAUGCAAGUCGAGCGAACAGACGAGGAGCUUGCUCCUCUGACGUUAGCGGCGGACGGGUGAGUAACACGUGGAUAACCUACCUAUAAGACUGGGAUAACUUCGGGAAACCGGAGCUAAUACCGGAUAAUAUAUUGAACCGCAUGGUUCAAUAGUGAAAGACGGUUUUGCUGUCACUUAUAGAUGGAUCCGCGCCGCAUUAGCUAGUUGGUAAGGUAACGGCUUACCAAGGCAACGAUGCGUAGCCGACCUGAGAGGUUGAUCGGCCACGCUGGAACUGAGACACGGUCCAGACUCCUACGGGAGGCAGCAGUAGGGAAUCUUCCGCAAAGGGCGAAAGCCUGACGGAGCAACGCCGCGUGAGUGAUGAAGGUCUUCGGAUCGUAAAACUCUGUUAUUAGGGAAGAACAAAUGUGUAAGUAACUAUGCACGUCUUGACGGUACCUAAUCAGAAAGCCACGGCUAACUACGUG